Small nuclear RNA from Monodelphis domestica (gray short-tailed opossum), 105 nucleotides. The record is from Ensembl. Lineage: Eukaryota; Metazoa; Chordata; Mammalia; Didelphimorphia; Didelphidae.
GUGCUCACUUCAGCAGCACAUAUACGAAAAUUGGAAUGAUAUAGGAAGAUUAGCAUGGCCCUGUGCAAGGAUGACACACAAAUUCAUGAAGCAUUCCAUAUUUUU